Molecule: ribosomal RNA, 497 nt
Filed under: uncultured bacterium
Lineage: Bacteria
Description: partial 16S ribosomal RNA
Rfam family: Bacterial small subunit ribosomal RNA
Source: RNAcentral
GAUGAACGCUGGCGGCGUGCCUAAUACAUGCAAGUCGAACGAACGGACGAGAAGCUUGCUUCUCUGAUGUUAGCGGCGGACGGGUGAGUAACACGUGGAUAACCUACCUAUCAGACUGGGAUAACUUCGGGAAACCGGCGCUAAUACCGGAUAAUAUUUUGAACCGCAUGGUUCAAAAGUAAAAGACGGUCUUGCUGUCACUUAUAGCUGGAUCCGCGCUGCAUUAGCUGGUUGGUAAGGUAACGGCUUACCAAGGCAACGAUGCAUAGCCGACCUGAGAGGGUGAUCGGCCACACGGGAACGGGGACACGGUCCAUACGCCUACGGGAGGCAGCAGUAUGGAAUCGUCCGCAAUGGGCGAAAGCCUUACGGAGCAACGCCGCGUGAGUGAUGAAGGUCUUCGGAUCGUAAAACUCUGUUAUGAGGGAAGAACAGAUGUGGAAGUAACUGUGCACAGCGUGACGGUACCUAAUCAGAAAGCCACGGCUAACUACGUG